This 468-nucleotide ribosomal RNA is filed under the name uncultured bacterium. RNAcentral describes it as "partial 16S ribosomal RNA". It matches the Rfam family "Bacterial small subunit ribosomal RNA", at positions 28 to 507 of the family's 1533-position model. The record is from RNAcentral.
GACGAACGCUGGCGGCGUGCUUAACACAUGCAAGUCGAACGGAAAGGCCCUGCUUUUGUGGGGUGCUCGAGUGGCGAACGGGUGAGUAACACGUGAGUAACCUGCCCUUGACUUUGGGAUAACUUCAGGAAACUGGGGCUAAUACCGGAUAGGAGCUCCUGCUGCAUGGUGGGGGUUGGAAAGUUUCGGCGGUUGGGGAUGGACUCGCGGCUUAUCAGCUUGUUGGUGGGGUAGUGGCUUACCAAGGCUUUGACGGGUAGCCGGCCUGAGAGGGUGACCGGCCACAUUGGGACUGAGAUACGGCCAAGACUCCUAAGGGAGGCAGCAGUGGGGAAUAUUGCACAAUGGGCGGAAGCCUGAUGCAGCAACGCCGCGUGCGGGAUGACGGCCUUCGGGUUGUAAACCGCCUUCGCCUGUGACGAAGCGUGAGUGACGGUAAUGGGUAAAGAAGCACCGGCUAACUACGUG